RNAcentral lists this ribosomal RNA (134 nucleotides) under Vulpicida viridis. RNAcentral's name for it is "5.8S ribosomal RNA". It matches the Rfam family "5.8S ribosomal RNA", at positions 16 to 149 of the family's 154-position model. From Rfam's summary of the family: 5.8S ribosomal RNA (5.8S rRNA) is a component of the large subunit of the eukaryotic ribosome. The record is from RNAcentral. Lineage: Eukaryota; Fungi; Ascomycota; Lecanoromycetes; Lecanorales; Parmeliaceae.
AUCUCUUGGUUCCAGCAUCGAUGAANAACGCAGCGAAAUGCGAUAACUAAUGUGAAUUGCAGAAUUCAGUGAAUCAUCGAGUCUUUGAACGCACAUUGCGCCCCUCGGUAUUCCGGGGGGCAUGCCUGUUCGAG